UCGCCCCACUCGCGCUGCUGCUCCUCGUGCACGAGGCGCGUGAAGAUGUUGGUCCUCCGCCGCUCCUUCCGCUUAGAGUGGAAGUAGCCCAGCAUGAUGCCGCACAGGAAGACCCCGUAGAAGGAGAUGACGAUUAGAACGUACAGCUUCUCAAUCUCAUCCCGGUAAUAGGCCUCCAGCUCCUUCCGCUUGAGCUUGAAUGCAUCCGUCACCAGUCCAGUGUCGGCGGUCCAAGGGUCUGGACUCAGAUGGAUCUUGCCAGGGAUCUCAAAGCUCACGAGUUCGGCUGCAACAGAAUAAAAUGGAACUGUGGAGGGAAGUGUGUCAGCGCGCCUGCAGGAGCUAAGGUCACCACUUCUGGCAAUGGUGUCGAGGGUGGAGCACCAUCAGCUAGGGGCGGGGCAAGUGUGGGACGGCGAGACACAGCUGGCAGGUGAUUAGAUUUCACAGGUGGUACGUGUUAAUCUAAUCAUCUGUUGUCUUUAACGGUAAGCAGCCAGGAGCAGAGAAGAAGAGAGGAUUGGGAGUGACGGCAACGUCAGGACAUGCCGAAAGACAUUUUGAAAAUCUUGUUAAAAACUUUGUUAAACCUGCACGCUUGGCUCUUGUGCCAUGUCUACAGUGGAGCUGCUAGGAAGCGACUUCCA
Nerophis lumbriciformis (worm pipefish) is the source of this 647-nucleotide long non-coding RNA. RefSeq lists it as uncharacterized. The record is from RefSeq and is a predicted model, not a curated record. Lineage: Eukaryota; Metazoa; Chordata; Actinopteri; Syngnathiformes; Syngnathidae.